RNAcentral lists this ribosomal RNA (265 nucleotides) under uncultured prokaryote. RNAcentral describes it as "partial 16S ribosomal RNA". It matches the Rfam family "Bacterial small subunit ribosomal RNA", at positions 524 to 788 of the family's 1533-position model. The record is from RNAcentral.
UACGUAGGGGCGAGCGUUGUCCGGAAUUACUGGGCGUAAAGGGCGCGCAGGCUGUUAUGCGAGUCUGCUGUGAAAUGUACCGGCUCAACCGGUGCCUUGCGGCGGAUACUGCAUAGCUGGAGUACUGGAGAGGGAAGUGGAAUUCCCGGUGUAGCGGUGAAAUGCGUAGAUAUUGGGAGGAACACCGGUGGCGAAGGCGGCUUUCUGGCCAGUUACUGACGCUCAUGCGCGAAAGCUGGGGUAGCGAACAGGAUUAGAUACCCCU